RNAcentral lists this long non-coding RNA (330 nucleotides) under Pollicipes pollicipes. RNAcentral describes it as "uncharacterized LOC119110734". Lineage: Eukaryota; Metazoa; Arthropoda; Thecostraca; Pollicipedomorpha; Pollicipedidae. The record is from RNAcentral.
CGCGGCGCGCCUCCAUCCUCUCAGCAAUCGCCACCGUCAAGCACCCAGCUCGUGACCGGUGUUUCCACAGCACAGAGACGCGCUUCAGACCUUCGAUGUCGACCAUUUUUACUAUUGUGCUACGAGGCAUGGACCGGUCAGAAGAAACGGUUCUUACUUUGAUCGACCUGAGUCGCUGUUUCGACGCACUGGACCACUCAAUGUUGCUGACGAGGCCGCGGAAGCUCCAAGUAUCUACAGACUGCAUCCAAAGUUACCCGAGGUUACACAUACAGCAUGUGAGGAUGGAUCCGACGCUGUCUGGCCCAAAAUAGUAUCACCAUUGGCACG